RNAcentral lists this ribosomal RNA (117 nucleotides) under Lepisosteus oculatus (spotted gar). Lineage: Eukaryota; Metazoa; Chordata; Actinopteri; Semionotiformes; Lepisosteidae. The record is from RNAcentral.
GCCAGCAGUCAAGUCGCCCUGCAGCUCCCAGCUGGCAGCCCACUGCAGCCAAGCAGGUGUGAGCCUGGCCUGUACCUGGAUGGGAGACCCACUGGGAAGCUAUGGUGGCUGCUGGAA